Molecule: ribosomal RNA, 351 nt
Filed under: uncultured bacterium
Lineage: Bacteria
Description: bacterial SSU rRNA
Rfam family: Bacterial small subunit ribosomal RNA
Source: RNAcentral
AGAGUUUGAUCCUGGCUCAGGAUGAACGCUAGCUACAGGCUUAACACAUGCAAGUCGAGGGGCAGCAUGGUCUUAGCUUGCUAAGGCCGAUGGCGACCGGCGCACGGGUGAGUAACACGUAUCCAACCUGCCGUCUACUCUUGGACAGCCUUCUGAAAGGAAGAUUAAUACAAGAUGGCAUCAUGAGUCCACAUGUUCACAUGAUUAAAGGUAUUCCGGUAGACGAUGGGGAUGCGUUCCAUUAGAUAGUAGGCGGGGUAACGGCCACCUAGUCUUCGAUGGAUAGGGGUUCUGAGAGGAAGGUCCCCCANAUUGGAACUGAGACACGGUCCAAACGUCCUACGGGAGGCA